Molecule: ribosomal RNA, 1905 nt
Filed under: Triticum aestivum (bread wheat)
Lineage: Eukaryota; Viridiplantae; Streptophyta; Magnoliopsida; Poales; Poaceae
Description: partial small subunit ribosomal RNA
Source: RNAcentral
AUGCCGCCCCGGCUGCUCACCCUGGCGGCGCUGCUGCUGCUGAGCGCCACGCUGGGCGCGCCGGAGCCGGAGGCCGACAGGGCAGCGCUGCUGGACUUCCUCGCGGGGGUGGGCGGCGGCGGGCGCAUCAACUGGGCCGCCGCCCGCCCCGUCUGCGCCAACUGGACGGGCGUCACCUGCAGCGCCGACGGCGCCCGCGUCGUCGAGCUGCGCCUGCCGGGGCUCGCCCUCUCGGGCCCCGUGCCGCGCCGCACGCUCGCCCGCCUCACCGCGCUCCGGGUGCUCAGCCUCCGCGCCAACGACCUCUCCGGCGCCUUCCCGGACGACCUGCUCGCGCUCCCGGGCCUCGCGGGCCUCCACCUCCAGCGCAACGCCUUCUCCGGCGCCCUGCCGCCCGGCCUCGCGGGGCUCAAGAGGCUGCAGGUGCUCGACCUCUCCUUCAACGCCUUCGACGGGGCCCUGCCCGGCGCGCUCUCCAACCUCACCCAGCUCGUCGCGCUCAACCUCUCCAACAACUCGCUCUCCGGCCGCGUCCCCGACCUCGGCCUCCCGGCGCUGCAGUUCCUCAACCUCUCCAACAACCACCUCGACGGCCCCGUGCCCGGCUCCCUGCUCAGGUUCUCGGACGCCUCCUUCGCCGGGAACAGCAUGACGCGGCCGGCGCCGGUGUCGCCGGCGGUCCCGCCACCGUCGCUCGCCCCGCCGGCGGCCGGCGCGCCCGCCAAGAAACGGGGCCGGCUCAGCGAGGCGGUCGUUCUUGCCAUUAUCGUCGGCGGGUGCGUCAUGCUGUUCGCGGUCGUCGCGGUGCUGCUGAUAGCCUUCUGCAGCAGGCGGGGCGGCGAGGAGGGGAGCCGGGCGGGGUCCGGGAAGGGCGGGGACAAGAAGGGGAGGGAGUCGCCGGAGUCCAAGGCGGUGACCGGCAGGGCCGGGGACGGCAACCGGCUGGUGUUCUUCGAGGGCCCGUCACUGGCGUUCGACCUGGAGGACCUUCUCCACGCCUCCGCCGAGGUUCUCGGGAAGGGAGCGUUCGGCACGGCGUACCGGGCGCUGCUGGAGGACGCCACCACCGUGGUGGUGAAGAGGCUCAAGGAGGUCAGCGCCGGGCGGCGCGAGUUCGAGCAGCAGAUGGAGCUCAUUGGGCGGAUCCGGCACGACAAUGUGGCGGAGCUCCGGGCGUACUACUACUCCAAGGACGAGAAGCUGCUCGUGUACGACUACUACAGCAGGGGAAGUGUAUCCAACAUGCUUCACGGGAAGCGGGGUCUGGACAGAACACCAUUGGAUUGGGAGACUAGAGUAAGGAUAGCCCUGGGCGCAGCAAGAGGGAUCGCCCACAUCCACACUGAGAACAAUGGGAAAUUUGUUCAUGGCAACAUCAAGGCGUCAAAUGUGUUCCUCAACAGCCAGCAAUAUGGCUGCAUCUCUGACCUUGGCUUGGCGCCACUGAUGAACCCGAUAACCGCAAGGUCCCGUUCUCUGGGAUACUGUGCACCUGAGAUCACCGACACAAGGAAAUCAACGCAGUGCUCUGAUGUCUACAGCUUCGGUGUCUUUGUGCUCGAGCUCCUCACUGGCAAGUCACCUGUUCAGAUAACUGGCGGCGGCAACGAGGUUGUCCACCUUGUCAGGUGGGUGCAGUCCGUUGUCCGGGAGGAGUGGACCGCCGAGGUGUUUGACGGCGAGCUGAUGAGGUACCCUAACAUCGAGGAGGAGAUGGUGGAGAUGCUACAGAUCGCCAUGGCAUGCGUCUCGAGGAACCCAGAGCGGCGGCCGAAGAUGAAGGACAUGGUGAAGAUGAUCGAAGAGGUCGGCAGGAACGACAGUGGGACGCGGGCUUCGACGGAGGCCUCGACGCCGGUGGGGGAAGCUCGGAACAAGGCAGAAAGCUCAUCUGCAGCCUCCUGA